This 322-nucleotide ribosomal RNA is filed under the name Streptomyces sp. RNAcentral's name for it is "bacterial SSU rRNA". It matches the Rfam family "Bacterial small subunit ribosomal RNA", at positions 1036 to 1351 of the family's 1533-position model. Lineage: Bacteria; Bacillati; Actinomycetota; Actinomycetes; Kitasatosporales; Streptomycetaceae. The record is from RNAcentral.
GGGUGGUGCAUGGCUGUCGUCAGCUCGUGUCGUGAGAUGUUGGGUUAAGUCCCGCAACGAGCGCAACCCUUGUCCUGUGUUGCCAGCAUGCCCUUCGGGGUGAUGGGGACUCACAGGAGACCGCCGGGGUCAACUCGGAGGAAGGUGGGGACGACGUCAAGUCAUCAUGCCCCUUAUGUCUUGGGCUGCACACGUGCUACAAUGGCCGGUACAAUGAGCUGCGAUACCGUGAGGUGGAGCGAAUCUCAAAAAGCCGGUCUCAGUUCGGAUUGGGGUCUGCAACUCGACCCCAUGAAGUCGGAGUCGCUAGAAUCGCAAUUAC